This 492-nucleotide ribosomal RNA is filed under the name uncultured bacterium. Its description in RNAcentral is "partial 16S ribosomal RNA". It matches the Rfam family "Bacterial small subunit ribosomal RNA", at positions 29 to 507 of the family's 1533-position model. The record is from RNAcentral.
AGUGAACGCUGGCGGUAGGCCUAACACAUGCAAGUCGAACGGCAGCACAGUAAGCGCUUGCUCUUACGGGUGGCGAGUGGCGGACGGGUGAGGCAUACAUCGGAAUCUACUUUUUCGUGGGGGAUAACGUAGGGAAACUUACGCUACUACCGCAUACGACCUACGGGUGAAAGCAGGGGAUCUUCGGACCUUGCGCGAUUGAAUGAGCCGAUGUCGGAUUAGCUAGUUGGCUGGGUAAGGGCCCACCAAGGCGACGCUCCGUAGCUGGUCUGAGAGGAUGAUCGGCCACACUGGAACUGAGACACGGUCCAGACUCCUACGGGAGGCAGCAGUGGGGAAUAUUGGACAAUGGGCGCAAGCCUGAUGCAGCCAUACCGCGUGAGUGAAGAAGGCCUUCGGAUUGUAAAGCCCUUUUGUUGGGAAAGAAAAGCAGUAGAUUAAUACCCCGCUGUUCUGACGGUACCCAAAGAAUAAGCACCGGCUAACUUCGUG